ACGGGACUCUUCGGAGUUCAGUGGCGGACGGGUGAGUAACGCGUGAGAAUCUGCCUAGAGGAUGGGGACAACCACGGGAAACUGUGGCUAAUACCCAAUGAGCGGAGACGUUAAAGAUUUAUCGCCUCUAGAGGAGCUCGCGUCUGAUUAGCUAGUUGGUGGGGUAAAAGCCUACCAAGGCGACGAUCAGUAGCUGGUCUGAGAGGACAACCAGCCACACUGGGACUGAGACACGGCCCAGACUCCUACGGGAGGCAGCAGUGGGGAAUUUUCCGCAAUGGGCGAAAGCCUGACGGAGCAAUACCGCGUGAGGGAGGAAGGCUCUUGGGUCGUAAACCUCUUUUCUCAGGGAAGAAGAAAGUGACGGUACCUGAGGAAUCAGCCUCGGCUAACUCCGUGCCAGCAGCCGCGGUAAUACGGAGGAGGCAAGCGUUAUCCGGAAUUAUUGGGCGUAAAGCGUCCGUAGGUGGCUCUUCAAGUCUGCUGUCAAAGAGUGGGGCUUAACUCCAGAAAGGCAGUGGAAACUGAAAGGCUAGAGAGCCGUAGGGGUAGAGGGAAUUCCCGGUGUAGCGGUGAAAUGCGUAGAGAUCGGGAAGAACAUCGGUGGCGAAAGCGCUCUACUGGACGGUAUCUGACACUGAGGGACGAAAGCUAGGGGAGCGAAUGGGAUUAGAUACCCCAGUAGUCCUAGCCGUAAACGAUGGAUACUAG
RNAcentral lists this ribosomal RNA (711 nucleotides) under uncultured cyanobacterium. RNAcentral's name for it is "bacterial SSU rRNA". It matches the Rfam family "Bacterial small subunit ribosomal RNA", at positions 66 to 819 of the family's 1533-position model. The record is from RNAcentral. Lineage: Bacteria; Bacillati; Cyanobacteriota.